RNAcentral lists this ribosomal RNA (619 nucleotides) under uncultured bacterium. RNAcentral describes it as "bacterial SSU rRNA". It matches the Rfam family "Bacterial small subunit ribosomal RNA", at positions 338 to 951 of the family's 1533-position model. The record is from RNAcentral.
CCUACGGGAGGCAGCAGUGGGGAAUUUUGGACAAUGGGCGAAAGCCUGAUCCAGCAAUGCCGCGUGAGUGAAGAAGGCCUUCGGGUUGUAAAGCUCUUUUGUCAGGGAAGAAACGGUGUUUUCUAAUACAGAAUGCUAAUGACGGUACCUGAAGAAUAAGCACCGGCUAACUACGUGCCAGCAGCCGCGGUAAUACGUAGGGUGCAAGCGUUAAUCGGAAUUACUGGGCGUAAAGCGUGCGCAGGCGGUUUUGUAAGUCUGACGUGAAAUCCCCGGGCUCAACCUGGGAAUUGCGUUGGAGACUGCAAGGCUAGAGUUUGGCAGAGGGGGGUAGAAUUCCACGUGUAGCAGUGAAAUGCGUAGAUAUGUGGAGGAACACCGAUGGCGAAGGCAGCCCCCUGGGUCAAGACUGACGCUCAUGCACGAAAGCGUGGGGAGCAAACAGGGUUAGAUACCCUGGUAGUCCACGCCCUAAACGAUGUCUACUAGUUGUCGGGUCUUAAUUGACUUGGUAACGCAGCUAACGCGUGAAGUAGACCGCCUGGGGAAGUACGGUCGCAAGNUUAAAACNCAAAGGAAUUGAGNGNGAGACGNGCGACGACGACGACGAGGGAGGAGG